GCGGGUCAACCGCGAACUUUUAAACCUUUGACGAUUGACUCAUGUUGCCUCGGCGGGCUCGCCCGCCAGAGGAUACAUCAAAACUCUUGUUUUAACGGUGUUGUCUGAGCUACAAGCAACGAAUCAAAACUUUCAACAACGGAUCUCUUGGUUCUGGCAUCGAUGAAGAACGCANCGAAAUGCGAUAAGUAGUGUGAAUUGCAGAAUUCAGUGAAUCAUCGAAUCUUUGAACGCACAUUGCGCCCCUUGGUAUCCCGAGGGGCAUGCCUGUUCGAGCGUCAUUUCACCACUCAAGCCUGGCUUGGUGUUGGGCGACGUCCCCUUUGGGGACGCGCCUCGAAACGCUCGGCGGCGUGGCACCGGCUUUAAGCGUAGCAGAAUCUUUCGCUUCGAAAGUCGGGGCCCCGUUUGCCGGAAGACCUACUCGCAAGGUUGACCUCGGAUCAGGCAGGGAUACCCGCUGAACUUAAGCAUAUCAAUAANCGGAGGA
RNAcentral lists this ribosomal RNA (490 nucleotides) under uncultured fungus. Its description in RNAcentral is "eukaryotic LSU rRNA". The stretch from base 128 to 281 matches the Rfam family "5.8S ribosomal RNA". The record is from RNAcentral. Lineage: Eukaryota; Fungi.